This 301-nucleotide ribosomal RNA is filed under the name uncultured bacterium. Its description in RNAcentral is "partial 16S ribosomal RNA". It matches the Rfam family "Bacterial small subunit ribosomal RNA", at positions 509 to 807 of the family's 1533-position model. The record is from RNAcentral.
CAGUAGCCGCGGUAAUACGUAGGUGGCAAGCGUUGUCCGGAAUUAUUGGGCGUAAAGGGCUCGCAGGCGGUUUCUUAAGUCUGAUGUGAAAGCCCCCGGCUCAACCGGGGAGGGUCAUUGGAAACUGGGAAACUUGAGUGCAGAAGAGGAGAGUGGAAUUCCACGUGUAGCGGUGAAAUGCGUAGAGAUGUGGAGGAACACCAGUGGCGAAGGCGACUCUCUGGUCUGUAACUGACGCUGAGGAGCGAAAGCGUGGGGAGCGAACGGGAUUAGAUACCCCAGUAGUCCCUGUCUCUUAUAC